RNAcentral lists this transfer RNA (73 nucleotides) under Stegodyphus mimosarum. It matches the Rfam family "tRNA". Rfam says of the family: Transfer RNA (tRNA) molecules are approximately 80 nucleotides in length. The record is from Rfam by way of RNAcentral. Lineage: Eukaryota; Metazoa; Arthropoda; Arachnida; Araneae; Eresidae.
GCCUUUGUAGUGUAGUGGUAAGCACGCUGGACGCGUAUUCCAGAGGUCCUGGGUUCGCGUUCCGCCGAAGGUG